This 415-nucleotide long non-coding RNA is filed under the name Cricetulus griseus (Chinese hamster). RNAcentral describes it as "lncRNA (ENSCGRG00015032047.1)". Lineage: Eukaryota; Metazoa; Chordata; Mammalia; Rodentia; Cricetidae. The record is from RNAcentral.
CACACUGAAUAACAUCUUUUGGUGCUGUGAAAGCCAGCCAACAUGGUGAAAACUUCUUGAGAAGUACCAACUUGAUCACUUUAAAUCCCAUGAAGAAAGUAUGUAGUGUCUUCAGCAAUAAGCUCUUACCAUCAGACUGUGGUGGACAACUAUCUGUGGGACCCCUCUGACCAACAAAUUAAAGGUUAUUUUUAUUCAGGGAGAAGUCACUUACAUGAGAAACCUAUGACCCACAAUUUCCAGCUCCAAGGAUCCACAUCCAGAUGUUCCAUGACCCAACUGGAACCAAGAGAGAGCAAGCCUGUUCCAGACCCCAGACCAAAUCCCACAAGCUCAUGUAUGCACCUGUGACCAUGCCCAUUUGAUGGAUUAAAUAAAAUCCAUCCUGCUUAAUACAUUGGUGGUUUAACAAUAG